AUAAAACAUUUAUUCGACAUCUGGCAUGGGUCCAAAAACCUUGGGAAAAAACUAAUAAAGACUGGACAAGAAAAAUCAAAAAAGCCAAUAUUGCAGUGGACGAGAGAGAUAGUAAACCAUCAUCUGUAGCAACGAAAUACAGAAGAUGAGUUUAUUGGCAUUUGGUUUGGAGUCAUACAUCAUGUUGUGAAUGAGCAUGAAUGGAUUUUGCCAUAUACAUAUAGAGCAGGAGGAAGAAGUUCAUGCCAGCAUGGUCAAAAUUAACAGAGGAAAGGGACAAAAAUUGGUUUGAGGCAGGAUCUCCAGCACAUGUUGCCGUGCGUGAAAUU
This is a long non-coding RNA of Saccostrea cuccullata (small rock oyster), 329 nucleotides long. RefSeq lists it as uncharacterized. The record is from RefSeq and is a predicted model, not a curated record. Lineage: Eukaryota; Metazoa; Mollusca; Bivalvia; Ostreida; Ostreidae. The transcript is spliced from 3 exons.